RNAcentral lists this microRNA precursor (173 nucleotides) under Oryza meridionalis. RNAcentral's name for it is "MIR812 microRNA precursor family". It matches the Rfam family "MIR812 microRNA precursor family". The record is from Rfam by way of RNAcentral. Lineage: Eukaryota; Viridiplantae; Streptophyta; Magnoliopsida; Poales; Poaceae.
UUUAAAUGCAAUUAUGAGUUUUCCUACCGAAUUUUGAUCGUCCGUCAUAUUUGAAAACUUUUUGUAAUUAUUAUUUUUGUUGUUAUCAUAGAAUAAAAUAUAAAUAGUUAUAAAAAGUAAUUAAUAAGUCAGACGAUUAAAAUUGAAUAUGAAAAAUUAUAGCUACAUUUAGA